UGCCGCCGGUCCUAAUCAUGCAGUCGAGCGGACUUGAUGGAGUGUUUGCACUCCUGAUAGUUACCGGCGGACGGGUGAGUAACGCGUAAGUAGCCUGCCCAUAUGACUGGGAUAACCCACGGAAACGUGAGCUAAUACCAGAUAGGCAUUUUCCUCGCAUGAGGGAUAUGAGAAAGGCGGAGCAAUCUGCCACUUAUGGAUGGACCUGCGGCGCAUUAGCUAGUUGGUAAGGGAACGGCUUACCAAGGCGACGAUGCGUAACCGACCUGAGAGGGUGAUCGGCCAGACUGGGACUGACACACGGCCCACACUCCUACGGGAGGCAGCAGUAGGCAAUCUUCCGGAAUGGACGAAAGUCUGACGGACCAACGCCGCGUGAGUGAUGAAUGUUUUCGGAUCGUAUAUGUCUGUUGCCAGGAAAGAACGCCUAUGAAAGUAACUGCUCCUAUGGUGACGGUACCUGAGAAGAAAGCCCCGGCUAACUACCUGCCAGCAGCCGCGGUAAUACGUAGGGGGCGAGCGUUGUCCGGAAUUAUUGGGCGUAAAGCGCGCGCAGGCUUCUAUGUAAGUUGGGUGUUUAAACCUAGGGCUCAGCCUUGGGUCGCAUCCAACACUGCAUAGCUUGAGUACAGAAGAGGAGAGUGGAACUCCACGUGUAGCGGUGAAAUGCGUAUAUAUGUGGAGGAACACCAGUGGCGAGCGCGAUUUUCUGGGCUGUAACUGACUCUGACGCGCGAAAGCGUGGGAGAGCACACAGGAUUAUAUACUGUGGUACUCCACGCCGUACACGAUGAAUGCUAUGUGUUAGGGGUUUCGAUACUCUUGGUGCCGACUAUAACACAUUAAGCAUUCCGCCUGGAGAGUACGGUCGCAAGACUGACACUCAAAGGAAUUGACGGGGCACCCGCACAACGCAGUGGAGUAUUGUGGUUUUAAUUUCAAAGCAACCGCAAAAAACCUUAUACCAGGGUCUUGGAAAU
This 980-nucleotide ribosomal RNA is filed under the name uncultured prokaryote. RNAcentral's name for it is "bacterial SSU rRNA". It matches the Rfam family "Bacterial small subunit ribosomal RNA", at positions 38 to 988 of the family's 1533-position model. The record is from RNAcentral.